RNAcentral lists this long non-coding RNA (4848 nucleotides) under Sus scrofa (pig). RNAcentral's name for it is "lncRNA (ENSSSCG00000059734.1)". Lineage: Eukaryota; Metazoa; Chordata; Mammalia; Artiodactyla; Suidae. The record is from RNAcentral.
UAAUUAUCUCUUCCCUGACUUUCUCUGAACAUACUAAUCAUGUUGAAGCUCUACAGAGUUCCACUUUCAUCCUCUUCUCACAAAUCUUAGCAAAACUACCCCAGAGUUUCACUUCUCAUCAACAUGGCGAUGAAUCUCAAGGCAAUAACCUUCAACAUUUCCAAAACUAUGUGUCCACCUCCUCACUAGAUAUCUCCAGCCGAAUAAUCCAAAGUACCUUAAAUGCAAUAUAUAUAAAACCAAACUUUUAAUCUACUGAUCGCCUCCUUCUCCAAUUUAAAUCUGUUUUAAUUGUAUAUUCCCUUUAGCAGUGAAUGUCCCAGCCUUACUUACACUCAGCUUUCAACAUCACAAAAUCACAAACCAUCAUUUAGUCUCUUUUUUCUCAUAUAGUCAAUACCAGAUCCUCUUGAUUCAGUAUAUUUAUACCUCAUUAAUUUGCCCAGUUCUGUUUAUAGUCUCUAUAAUAUUAUUCUCAGUUAUCACUGAGAUUAUAAAAACAAUCUCCUGAUCAAUCCCAUACCUCUAAUCCUUAUUCCCUUCAAAUCUAAAACUACAUGAUGUGCCACUCCCUGUUUAAAAUCCUUUAGCUAUUUCUCAUCAUCUGCAAUAAAACGUAAUGAAACUCAUUUCUCAGACUCUUGCCUAAUUAGAGACUGGUUUCCCCACCUUCCCAUCUCAUCACUAAUUUCUUCUUUGUUAUACCACAAGGCAUGGGAACUAUUCCAAGCCCCACAGUAUUCACCAAACCAGUAUUAUCUCCAAUGGUUGCUUGUCUUUCGUCCCUCCACUUGGAUGACUUGUUUGUCUUCCAGAACUCAACCUUCUCCACAACCUUCUCUAAGAUUCUCCUGCCUCCAAAGUUCAGCUUUGGGGAACCCUCUAUAUGUUCUGAUAACACCUGUUGUAGCUCUACCAUAGAAAUUAUUACACUGUGUUGUAAUAUAGUCUCUUUUUUUCCUACACUUUCCAAAACUCAAUUAUAUUAAAAUAAUUUGAAGUAAGAAUGCUGUAUCAUUUGUGUAGCCCAAUUCUUGACAGAAUGCAAUUCCUUUAUUAAUGAUUUGAAUGAAUGAGUGAAUGAAACCAGAAUUUUUGUCCCAUCAAGACUUCUUUCUCAGGAAGUAUAAUCUGGUUUCUCAGUAUUUUCAUUGUACAUUAGUUCUUGUUCUUAUUUUUUAUACUUCACUAUUUUGUUCUAUGUGAGUGUUUGCUUUAAAAUGUGCUCUCUGGGAGUUCCUGUCAGGGCUCAGUGGAAACGAAUCUGACUAGCAUCCAUGAGGAUGCAGGUUCUAUCCCUGGCCUUAUUCAGUGGAUUAAGGAUCCGGCAUUGCUGUGAGCUGUGGUGUAGGUUGCAAACAUGGCUCAGAUCUGGCAUUGCUGUGGCUGUGGCGUAGGCCUGCAGCUGUAGCUCCGAUUAGACCCCUAGCCUGGGAACCUCCAUGUGCUGCAGGUGUGGCCCUAAAAAGACAAAAUAAAUAAACAAAUAAAUAAAAAUAAAAUGUGCUUUCUGGAGUUCCCUAGUGGCUUAGUGGGUUAAGGAUGUGGCAUCAUCACUGCUGUGGCUCUGAUUACUGCUGCAACAGGUUAGAUCUCUGGCCCAAGAACUUCCCAAUGCCACAAGCGUGGCCAAAAAUAAAUAAAUAAAUAAAUAAAAAUAAAUAAAAAAAAACAAAAAGGUGUUUUCUAUGGAUAUAAGGUAAUGUAGAGGAAAAAAAAUUAACUUUUCAAUUGUCAUGUUUUAUUUUUUGUAUGCUAUAUAAAUUCAUAGAUAUUCUCUUUUCUCUGAAAAUGGUUUUGCUCCUGCAUAUAUAUAUAUACAUAUAUACAUAUAUAUUCUUUACCCUUUACCUUUAAGUUAUAUGUAGCCCCUAGUAAAUUGGGUUUUGUGAAGUUCAUUUAAUAAAUGUGAGAAAGUCAGAGGUGAUUAGCACAAUGCUUUUUUUUUUUUUUUUUAAGGCCACACUUGUGGCAUAUGGAAGUUCCUGGACUAAGGGUCGAACUAGAUCUGCUGCUAUAGACCUAUGCCACAGCGAUGCCAGAUCCUUAACCCACUGAGUGAGGCCAGGGAUCAAACCUGCAUCCUCAUAUAUCGGAUUCUUAAUCUGCUGAGCCAUAACAGGAAGACCAUAACGUGUCACAUUCAAUUUCAACUGGAUGUUUUGGCUACAAUGGAGAUGUUAACAACUCAAAUCUCAGUAUUUCAUUAACAUAAUAGACACAUUUAUGAAAAACAAAGUUAGGAAUACAAUAAAAUCAGAGGUUGAAUCCAAAUUUAGGAAAGGGGAUUUAUGGCUUUCUAAAACUAUGACUUUAAAUUUGAGGUUUCUCUCCUCUCUCUUUUUUAUAUAGGCUCAACCAAACUACUGUCUAGACAAACACAGCUACUCAGUACAUAAAAAUACAAAAUAUGAAUUAUAAUAUAUUCUUAUUUAGUAUAAAUAUUUGAGAAUUUAAAUUUUUUCAAGGUACCUUGAAAUUCACUAUUUUAUUGUCAUCAUCUAAUGUUUAUUACUUUGGGGAAUGAUCCAUAAAUUAUAAUAUUUAAAUAAUAGUUUUAAUAUUCUUAAUAAUUUUUGAUUUUAGGUACAUCAGACUGAGGUGAAUUCUCUAGAAUUGAUUUACAUUUACAUAUUUAUACGUAACUCCACAUAUAUUUCAUUUUUAGACAGAUUAGAAGCAGUUAUUUCUAGAAUGGAGCUUAUUGAGGCAAAAUUUAAAUAAUUUUGGUAUUUAGAAACAUAACAUUCUAUAUUUAAUGUACUGUAUCAUAGAAUAAUCCGGAGGUCAGAUAUAAUGAAGAGAAUUAGUGAUUUUAGUUUCUGAAAAAGAUGUAAAGUUUCCUUUUUGUUUUUUAUUACACAGAAUUCCAGUACAUGGAGCAUUUUUAAUUUGUAGAGUUAUUCUUGGAUGAUAUGUGUCACAUUAGAUCUGUAAAUUCCACAUAGGAUGCAAUAUUGUUAUUAUUACUUUGUCUACGUGAAGAAUGUUACACAUUAUUUCAAUUAAAGUUUACUCCCUGGGAAUGAAUGAUGUUAUUGAGGUGACAUUAUAGACAGACAAUGAGAAUAGUUUAAGAAAGUUAGUUUUUUUUUUUAGCUGAUACUUAAAAAGUAGAAACCAAAAGAAAAUAAGAGUUUUUUUUAAUCCAAGUUCUUUGCUUAUUGAAGCAUGCGGUUAUUAUAUAAACUUAUAUUAAAUAUUUUCCUGUGUGGUUAUUCAGUUUCAGGAAACAUUGUUGAUUCUUUAGCAAAAUCUUUACAUCUUAAAGCUAUUUCAAAGAUUAUUAUUAUUUUUUUAAUGUUUUAUCCACAGUCUUCCCACCUUUCAUUUUAUAAUAUUAUAUGCAUUUAUUCUUUCUUGGAAUUAAGUCUAUCAGUUUUAAGCUAUAUGCUUUGGAUAAUUCAUUUUAGUGGGUGCUAAAAAUUGUAAAUGUUAACUACAAUAGAAAAGGAAAUUUUAACAUGUGCUAGCAAAUGUCCCCCAACUUCAGCAGUAGAAAAAAAAUCUCAACUAAAAAUUCCUACCAGAGAUGAUCUGAUCAUAACCUUUCAAGCAGAAAAUUGGGAAUCACUGUAGAAACAAUUUCUCAGGAAGGUAUUCAACUUUCAGAUAACCCUGAAACAAAGCAACCCAAUGUGUUUGCUUUCUGAAGAGGAAUCCUCAAUGGUCUCUCCGUCUUCAGGGUCCUCUGGAAAGCAAGCCCGCAGGAAAAUGUAAAGAACAGAGUACCUAGGAAAUGUAAGCCUUUUGUGAUGCACAGGAGGUAAAAACAUGUGUUCCUUCUAAAGUCUUUGGGAAAUGGUACAGGUUUUAAUGGUAUAGAUUAUAUAAAGAUCAUAAAAAUGGAUACCUUGGAUCAUUAACAUCUUGUUGAGCUGAAAUAUGCCCAUAGCCUUUGGCACAACUCAAUUCAGUUAGUCUGGAAUCAUACUGGAACACAAAGAAACCUCACUCUGAAACCAUUCAGGAUAAAAAAAAAACAUAAAGAUGAAUGUAUUGUGUUUCAGUUUUCUUUCAAAGAUUACCUUUAAAAUUUAAGACAUUCAGUGGUUGUGGUAUGUCCAUAAGGCUCUGCCCCUUUAACAUUUUAUACACACACACCACUAUUAUAAAUGUGUAUGUGUGUGUAUAUUCAAGCUUUGCUUUUAUUUUAACACAACUUCUAGUUUACACAUUUUGAAUAAAUACGUAUCUUUUAAGCCACUAAUUAUUUUAGAAACUUUGAAUUUGAAUUUAGGAAAGGCAAUAGGAAUUACAGAAAAUCUAUUCUAACAUUUAACUUAAACCAUCAUGACAAAACUUUACUAUAAGUCACCACAAUGAUCAUAACAGAAUUAAGAAACAUAAUAUAAAAUUUUAAUCUUCUACUAUAUAUUCCCCAAAUUAAAAAGAGAAGAAAACAUUUAUCUUGUCGUACAGGAUACCCUUUUUCAUUCAAGUGCCAUUUUCUUACAUUUAGGUUACACUCAAUUAUAAAAUGCUUGUUUACCUAGUUUGUCAUUUCUAACUUACUGUUAGCAUCAGGAGGCUUCUAGGCUACAAUGUUUCAAAUGCAAUGAAGUAGAGGAAAUGAUCCCAAGGUAAAAUGCAAUCCUAAAGGAUGAAAUGUACUAAAGAAUUCAACAUAAUAAUGUGUUCAAAUGGACAAAAGCGGGAGUUCCCGUCGUGGCUCAGUGGUUAACGAAUCCAACUAGGAACCAUGAGGUUGCGGGUUCGAUCCCUGGCCUUGCUCAGUGGGUUAAGGAUCUGGCAUUGCUGUGGCUCUGGUAUAGGCCGGCGGCUACAGCUCCGAUUCGACCCCUAGCCUGGGAACCUCCAUAUGCCUCGGGAGUGGCCCCAGAAAAG